GUGGUAAUAACUUCUAAUAACAUAUCUCUAUUUCGUUUUCCAGGAAAACAUAUCGGAACAUUUUCACUGUGCAGGGCAUAAAGACAGCUGGUGUGACGUCAUAGCCUCGUUCCCAGGCCUUAUGUGGUCUUUCCUUCUCUCGCAUUCGACGAAAAUGGAAAACUUUGGAACCAUGUUAAAAGGCAGUAGAUAAAGAGAUAUCAAAG
Molecule: non-coding RNA, 206 nt
Organism: Paramuricea clavata
Lineage: Eukaryota; Metazoa; Cnidaria; Anthozoa; Malacalcyonacea; Plexauridae
Source: the annotation of a GenBank genome assembly